GAUGAACGCUGGCGGCGUGCUUAACACAUGCAAGUCGAACGGAAAGGCUCCUGCUUGCAGGGGUACUCGAGUGGCGAACGGGUGAGUAACACGUGGGUGAUCUGCCCCGCACUUCGGGAUAAGCCUGGGAAACUGGGUCUAAUACCGGAUAGGACAGUGGUUUGGAUGCCAUUGUGUAAAGUUUUUUCGUUGUGGGAUGAGCUCGCGGCCUAUCAGCUUGUUGGUGGGGUAAUGGCCUACCAAGGCGUCGACGGGUAGCCGGCCUGAGAGGGUGUACGGCCACAUUGGGACUGAGAUAAGGCCCCGACUCCUACGGGAGGCAGCAGUCGGGAAUAUUGCACAAUGGGCGCAAGCCUGAUGCAGCGACGCCGCGUGGGGGAUGACGGCCUUCGGGUUGUAAAAUCCUUUCGCUAGGGACGAAGCGUUAUGUGACGGUACCUAGAGAAGAAGCACCGGCUAACUACGUG
This 467-nucleotide ribosomal RNA is filed under the name uncultured bacterium. RNAcentral describes it as "partial 16S ribosomal RNA". It matches the Rfam family "Bacterial small subunit ribosomal RNA", at positions 28 to 507 of the family's 1533-position model. The record is from RNAcentral.